AGAGUUUGAUCAUGGCUCAGGACGAACGCUGGCGGCGUGCUUAACACAUGCAAGUCGAACGGAAAGGCCCUUCGGGGUACUCGAGUGGCGAACGGGUGAGUAACACGUGGGUGAUCUGCCCUGCACUUUGGGAUAGGCCUGGGAAACUGGGUCUAAUACCGAAUAUGACCACGCGCUUCAUGGUGUGUGGUGGAAAGCUUUUGCGGUGUGGGAUGGGCCCGCGGCCUAUCAGCUUGUUGGUGGGGUAAUGGCCUACCAAGGCGACGACGGGUAGCCGGCCUGAGAGGGUGACCGGCCACACUGGGACUGAGAUACGGCCCAGACUCCUACGGGAGGCAGCAGUGGGGAAUAUUACACAAUGGGCGCAAGCCUGAUGCAGCGACGCCGCGUGAGGGAUGACGGCCUUCGGGUUGUAAACCUCUUUCAAUAGGGACGAAGCGCAAGUGACGGUACCUAUAGAAGAAGGACCGGCCAACUACGUGCCAGCAGCCGCGGUAAUACGUAGGGUCCGAGCGUUGUCCGGAAUUACUGGGCGUAAAGAGCUCGUAGGUGGUUUGUCGCGUUGUUCGUGAAAACUCACAGCUUAACUGUGGGCGUGCGGGCGAUACGGGCAGACUAGAGUACUGCAGGGGAGACUGGAAUUCCUGGUGUAGCGGUGGAAUGCGCAGAUAUCAGGAGGAACACCGGUGGCGAAGGCGGGUCUCUGGGCAGUAACUGACGCUGAGGAGCGAAAGCGUGGGGAGCGAACAGGAUUAGAUACCCUGGUAGUCCAA
RNAcentral lists this ribosomal RNA (773 nucleotides) under uncultured bacterium. Its description in RNAcentral is "bacterial SSU rRNA". It matches the Rfam family "Bacterial small subunit ribosomal RNA", at positions 8 to 798 of the family's 1533-position model. The record is from RNAcentral.